RNAcentral lists this ribosomal RNA (253 nucleotides) under uncultured bacterium. Its description in RNAcentral is "partial 16S ribosomal RNA". It matches the Rfam family "Bacterial small subunit ribosomal RNA", at positions 524 to 776 of the family's 1533-position model. The record is from RNAcentral.
GACAGAGGGUGCAAACGUUGUUCGGAAUUACUGGGCGUAAAGCGCGUGUAGGCGGUCGGGCAAGUCGGAUGUGAAAGCCCAGGGCUCAACCCUGGAAGUGCACUCGAUACUGCUCGGCUAGAGUCCCGGAGAGGAUGGUGGAACUCUCGGUGUAGAGGUGAAAUUCGUAGAUAUUCGGAAGAACACCAGUGGCGAAGGCGACUCACUGGACACAUAUUGACGCUGAGGUGCGAAAGCGUGGGGAGCAAACAGG